UACGGGGGGGGCAAGCGUUGUUCGGAAUUACUGGGCGUAAAGGGCUCGUAGGUGGCCAACUAAGUCAGACGUGAAAUCCCUCGGCUUAACCGGGGAGCUGCGUCUGAUACUGGAUGGCUUGAGUUUGGGAGAGGGACGCGGAAUUCCAGGUGUAGCGGUGAAAUGCGUAGAUAUCUGGAGGAACACCGGUGGCGAAGGCGGCGUCCUGGACCAACACUGACACUGAGGAGCGAAAGCCAGGGGAGCAAACGGG
This 253-nucleotide ribosomal RNA is filed under the name uncultured bacterium. Its description in RNAcentral is "partial 16S ribosomal RNA". It matches the Rfam family "Bacterial small subunit ribosomal RNA", at positions 524 to 776 of the family's 1533-position model. The record is from RNAcentral.